UACGUGAGGGGCAAGCGUUGUCCGGAAUCAUUGGGCGUAAAGAGCGUGUAGGCGGCCCGGUAAGUCCGCUGUGAAAGUCCAGGGCUCAACCCUGGGAUGCCGGUGGAUACUGUCGGGCUCGAGUCCGGAAGAGGAGUGUGGAAUUCCUGGUGUAGCGGUGAAAUGCGCAGAUAUCAGGAGGAACACCAAUGGCGAAGGCAGCACUCUGGGACGUGACUGACGCUGAGACGCGAAAGCGUGGGGAGCAAACAGG
Molecule: ribosomal RNA, 253 nt
Filed under: uncultured bacterium
Lineage: Bacteria
Description: partial 16S ribosomal RNA
Rfam family: Bacterial small subunit ribosomal RNA
Source: RNAcentral